AUAAUAAAACCAAGGUUUUAUUUCCCUCAUCCUCACCCAAUUCCCCGAAUCCUCCCGAUCUCCUUGCCAACAUCGCCGCCCACACUGCAUUGCCCUGGUCUUCUCGAUGUCGAGCCCCCUUCUUCCCGAUUCCUCUCCUCCAGCGUGUCUCCGCUGACCUCCAUGGCCGAUCGCUGGACGUGGCCUUCUUCCCCGCUGUAGAUCCGGCCUGAACUCGAUGUCAAGCCCUUGCUCGUGUCCUACUUCUCUUCUUCCCUGAUCCGAUCUGAGCACCACUUACCCUUUUUUGGUCAGCGCCACUCAGAUUCGUCCGGUCGUCGUCUGGUCCGCCACAGUCCUCUCUGAUUCGUUGCUCGCCUUUAUGUGCCGCCUUGCCGACUCCCCCUUCCCAUCAUCAUUGAUGUAGAUCCGUUGCCUCCCCUUCGUGUCGACUCGAUGUUGCUGCCGUCUCCAGUCGACCAUUGUUGACCACUCGGAACCAUCAUCUAUUUCAUCGCCAGCAGCUCCUCCCUAUUCUGACCAUCCACGAUGAGGUCUCACAGCUUGUCGCCGGAAUCUCGCUGUGAGCAGAUAGUCGACCUCUCCUGCUCGCUAUCGUCGUUGUUGUGUACCACUACUAAGGAUCCAUCGUUGGAGAGGCAAUGGCCGAAUAGGGGGACCGGCACCGGCACGCGACCGAGACAGCACGAGGGCGUGAAGUUCGGAUCGUCAUCGCAUGCGUCUUCGCGUGCGUCUGGUUGCGGCACAGUGGGCGACAAAAGGAAUCGAUUGGAUUCCUUCUGUCGAUCACGAGAUCACGGAAAAAACUUAUAUAAACGACGAAAACUUACCUGGAAGCAUCAGCGACGGAGAUUGGGUCGAGGCGGCGAGGCAGCGAGGCAGCGAGGCGGCGAGGAGGCGAGGCGACGAGGAGGCGACGCGGCUAGGCAGUGAGGCGGCGAUCACAUAUCUUCGGCAGCGACUCCAGCUCCGACUCCUCGACUCUUCUGCUCCCCCUCCGACGGCUACUUGAGAGAGAGAGAGAGAGAGAGAGAGAGAGAGUCAAAGAGCAACAAUGUUACGAGGGGAAGAACCCUAGCAAGAGGCUCAAGCAGAAGGCAUCGCCCAUGGCCGGGGCUGACCCUGGAAACCUAGCAGGAAGAUGAAGAAGCUCGUUUGGGAGCGGGCCCUGGAAUAUCACUCUGACUAGGACGACGAAGUCGACGAGGACGUUCUGGAGGAGCCUUCGAGCGACGCGGAGCAGGAUAAGGAAGAACAGAAGGACGGUUUGGGUGUCGGGGAUAACGGGAGCGACAGUUACGAAGUCGACGAUGAGGAGGACGGGGAUGGAGUGAAGCAUGGCAUCUCCCGGUUUGUCGAGGGUUGAGGGAUUUGGAUCGCUGUUUCUAAGAUUAUAAAGAGGCGCCUCUGGGAUGAUUCCCUUAAAAUCUUGCAUAAGAGGAUACAGCUACUUAAGAAAGGGGAGACGAGAAGGAGAAAAAAAAGAUGGUUAGUGUGAUUAAUUACCAGACUUGUCAUACAAUUGCCUCCCCGUUCUGUUGCUUUCAUUACGGAUUGAAAAUCUUGCAUAAGAGGAUACAGCUACUUAAGAAAGGGGAGACGAGAAGGAGAAAAAAAAGAUGGCAGCCGAGAAGGGGCACACUAAAGUGGAGAAUUUUUUGAAUGCAAACGAGGAGUUUCUUAAAGGAAGUAAUCUCUGGCUUCCAAAGGAUGUGACCUAACAUCUUUGCAAAUUAUGUCAUUCUAGCCAUUUACUGUGCUACAGUACGUUCCCCUCGAACCAAAAAGUCUUCAUCUUGCAUGUGUGAUUCUUUGCUGGAUUAUCAGUUGUGAAGUUAUUUAAUGCAGUCAGUAAAGCACAGAGUUGCUAGAAUGGCUUGAGUCCUUUGAGCUCCAUAGGUGCUAAAGUUGAUCAUUUUUUUGGUACUACAAGGUGAAGAUACUUCCAUGUCUGGUCUAUAAUCUCAUCCUGUGUUAGACAGCAUGGCCAAAUGUACCUUUUUGUUAAAUUACCAAAAUCGAUUACUCACUGACAUGGACACUUACAUACAUAUUACUUCAUCUUGCCCUGAUAUUUCUCAUACUAUCACUUGUCUGCUGGAGUGUCUAAAAGUGUUAUUCAUUCAUCAGACUUUGAAGUCCUCAUGUAUAACGUUACAUGUAUGAAAGGCUAUUACACAUAAGCCCUUACACUAUGAUAUGUUUGUCUGAGAAUGCUGCAAUCACUUCUGUAUUUUGUGAUCUCAACAGUUUUGGCAAAAAGAAGAAAACAAGCAUUUUUUCGGAGCUACAAAAGCCAACAACCUAGGCGUUUGGGCUUCGCCCGUCUAAUCUUGGAGGUAGAUAGCCUUCCCCUUGGUUCUCCUACCGAAAAUCUGGAGUACAACUUAUGCACAUUUAGAAAUCUUAAGGUAGAUGAUUAUUUUGUCAGUGACAUGCAUGAAUUUAUUGUCCUGGUUUUUGCAAGUGGUAUAGGAGUUUCUUCUAUUAAACAUAGAUUUUAGAGAGUAUCAUGAAGAAUCUUCACAUCAAGGAUAAUUAAUCCAUUUGUUUAUGGGUCUAUUACAUACACAUGUAUUUGUAGGUACCCAGUUUGUUCACCUAGUAAUAGUAAUGUUAGUAUUUAGAACAAUCGUGUGGAUAUUCUGAAAAGCAUAAAACGCUAGUGCUACUUUGGUUUUUUAACUCAAUACAUCGUUUUUUACUUUUAAAUAUUUGGUCAUUUGAUUUCAUUACAGUCAAAUAAGAAAAAUAUUGUUCUUUGUGCUAAAUAAAUAUUAUGGUUGAAGCAGUUACUUUAUCACAUUGAUGAUGUUAUGCUAAGUUGGAUUCCAUCCAAAUGUUACUUGGACACUAUUAAACAACUCUAUGAUUGUUCUAUUUGAUUACUUACCUUCUCAGAUCAGAUCAGAUCAACAAGUUUCAGCAACAAAACCUUCCUCCUGUAGCUGAUCCUCUAUCAUCCCCAUUUAUAAUUGCAAACUACUGUCAUGUAAUUUCACUUAUCUAGUCAAAUCAAAUUGCAACUUUGAGUUAAUUCUAAAUCUCCUUUUGUUCAGGUCUAGAUUGAUCCUUCUCUUCCUAACUUUGUUCUUGAACAAGGCUAGCAACUUUUGAUGGUAGCUUCCUGCUCCUUGAUCAUGGUUAUCUCAACAUAUCACAUGGUUAGACUUGUAGCUGUGCCCAGAAAAAGAGAAAAAUCAGUGCACCAAGUCUGAGAAAUGCAGUUCCCCACACUAGGUGCAUGCUAAAAUGGUUCUCAAAGAUAUUUCUUUUGGGAAUGUUGCUAGGAGCAAUGACCCUCUACCAGGGAGCAAGGUAAUAUGCUAGGUCUGAUUGUCCAAACCUGAAAUGAAAUGCUUUUGCAAUAUAGGCUAGCAAAUAUGCUCCGAAAUCUUUGCAUAAAUGCCAUUAGAAGGUUUUUCUUUGUUAAAAUAAUAACAAAAUAAUUUAUUUGAUAAAAUUGCAACUUAACCUUUAACUAUGUAAAGUAUUUUUGAAUUAGAUUAUUUAUUGAUAUUUUGUCUAAUAUUUUGAUAGAUUUUAUUUAAUAUUUUGAAAUGAAAUAAAUAAUUUUAGAUAAGUUGGUAGAGAUUUUAAGAAAGAUAUAUGCCAUAUCAAAAUUUGCAACGGUAAAUAAUUUCACUAAUUUGAAAGGGAUAAGUGUGCGUUUGCUCCUUUUGAAUGAUUUGGUAAGAUGAAUAGUUGGUAUUUGUAAAUCAUCUAUUAUGCUGGAGUGACAUCAAGAUUUUCUAUAAUUGGCAAAAGGUGGAACCGCCACCCUAGCGGCCCCCUGGCCCCGGCCCCAUAAGAUUCCAGAGGGAGUAAAUCACGGUUAAUGUUGGGCAGGAUAGAUUUUCUAUAAUUAAUCUUUGAGGAGGUGGUUCUCUCUCGACUAAGCUAUUUUACCAUGAACUAGAGUAAUAAUUGAAUGCUUCUGCAGCUUUGUGGUUAUAAGAAAAAGAAUCUGGAUGGUCUCCACUUUGGGACAGUCAGAUGCUUAGAACUUCAUAAUUUGACAGAUUGGGAUAAAACAGCAGAACUUGUGGCUGAAGAGAAGGUUUUGUCCGACAGUUCCUCAGAUGGAGAAUAGUUGCUGCAAGAAUAUUAUUGGAUUAUCGGAUGAGUACGGCUAGAAAUUGCCAUCAUGGUAAAUAAUGGCAAUGUUUCCUCAGGAAACAUCAUGCCCCAUCGUGCUCUGCUAAACCUCUAAAUUUAUGCACGUGAGGGUUUUAAAAGAGAAUAAAAUCUGCAGGGAGUGGAAGAAGUUUUUUUUCCCCUCUGGAAAUAUAGGCUAACAGUAUUCAUGAAGAAGCAAGUUAAUAGUCAGAAGUGUCCUCGAGUGAGCGUUGAAAAGAAGCAAUAAAUGCCGUGAAGCUGCCUUUGGACGCGUCUUCCGUUGUAUCCGCACUGUAUCCAGUAACGACUCUGAUCCGUGAAGAUUUUGUUGCGAACAAAAUGCCUCUAAAAUCUCUUAAUUUGCAAAUGGCUUAUGAAAGACAUGUGAAGAGCCAUGGAUGUAAAUAAUUAACACCAGCUGGGUGAUCAUCUGACAGGAUAAACUAAUCCCCACUCCUCCCUCCUUUUGAUAUGUUCCAAUGGACCAACGCACGUCAGGCGGCUGACGUCGCCCUGUGUCUCCCCAAUGCAGAUUUGGUUAAUUUAAGCAGGUUUCAUCAUCAAACCAGAGAAGUUCAAGAUUCAAGGAAAUAAAAAUACAUUAUCCGCCCCAAUACUGAAUGCGGCAAGACUUUGAUUUGUUCCACAAGGGUUGCAUCUGGUCCCUCCCAAUGAGGAUUAUUGUAAUGUAACAGGACACGAAAAAACUAAAAGAAUAAGAUUGUGAAGAGAUGGAUUGAUGUACCUCAUUCGGGGUUGCAAGUUCCCGUGGAAGGUAUAAACAAUGUAUGUCAUAAUUGGCUGUUGGGCGAUUGAUAUCAUUGUAUAUAAUACGAAAGGUAUAAAUUUCAGCA
This is an RNA transcript of Zingiber officinale, 4973 nucleotides long. RefSeq lists it as uncharacterized. Lineage: Eukaryota; Viridiplantae; Streptophyta; Magnoliopsida; Zingiberales; Zingiberaceae. The record is from RefSeq and is a predicted model, not a curated record. The transcript has 12 exons.